AGCAGCCGCGGUAAUUCCAGCUCCAAUAGCGUAUAUUAAAGUUGCUGCAGUUAAAAGCUCGUAGUUGAAUUUCGGGACUAAUAUGUCGGUCGUGCCUCGGUACGUACUGGCUUAUUGGUUUCUCCUUUCUGAAGAACCAUGAUGUCAUUUAUUUGGUGUCGUGGGGAAUCAGGACUGUUACUUUGAAAAAUUGAGUGUUUAAAGCAGGCUUACGCUUGAAUACAUUAGCAUGGAAUAAUGAAAUAGGACGUUUGAUUCUAUUUUGUUGGUUUCUAGGAUCGACGUAAUGAUUAAUAGGGAUAGUUGGGGGCAUUAGUAUUCAAUUGCCAGAGUGAAAUUCUUGGAUUUAUUGAAGACUAACUACUGCGAAAG
RNAcentral lists this ribosomal RNA (372 nucleotides) under uncultured Glomeromycotina. RNAcentral describes it as "SSU rRNA". It matches the Rfam family "Eukaryotic small subunit ribosomal RNA", at positions 569 to 951 of the family's 1831-position model. The record is from RNAcentral. Lineage: Eukaryota; Fungi; Glomeromycota.